CUUAGUGAAAAAUUCCGAAAACCCUAGAACAAAAAGGUAUCGAGAGCAUCGUCGUCCCCAACAGCCGAAGAACUGAAACUAGAAGACUUUCAGUAAUCGAGAAAUGGGUAAGGUUCACGGUUCAUUGGCUCGUGCCGGUAAGGUGAGAGGUCAGACACCUAAAGUGGCUAAGCAGGACAAGAAGAAGAAGCCUCGUGGUCGUGCUCACAAACGGUUGCAACACAACCGCCGUUUCGUCACCGCCGUUGUUGGUUUUGGCAAGAAGAGAGGACCAAACUCAUCAGAGAAGUAGACAAAAAGAAAAGGUUUUUUACCCUUUCAGAUUUUGUGGGAUGUUUUUGAUGAUGAAGUAAGUUAGUAGAAAACGUAAUGAUAUCAAAGUUGUUUAGGCUUUUGGUAAUCUACAAAAUCAGUGGAUGUUGUCCCAAUGUUUCUUUUGAUUUGUGUUUCUCGUCGGAUUAUAUCAAAAGUUCCUGGAUUAUUCGCUUAUUAUAUACACUAGAUUUUGAAGGAAUUAAUAUUCAUUUUGAUGCCAAUU
Molecule: long non-coding RNA, 538 nt
Organism: Camelina sativa (false flax)
Lineage: Eukaryota; Viridiplantae; Streptophyta; Magnoliopsida; Brassicales; Brassicaceae
Product: small ribosomal subunit protein eS30z/eS30y/eS30x
Source: RefSeq, a predicted model, not a curated record